Molecule: long non-coding RNA, 2539 nt
Filed under: Malus domestica (apple)
Lineage: Eukaryota; Viridiplantae; Streptophyta; Magnoliopsida; Rosales; Rosaceae
Description: long non-coding RNA (MDOM_LNC000770)
Source: RNAcentral
GUCAUGGGGGUUUCCAGGGCACCCAACAAGUGUGCCUCUGUGGGUGUUCAGGGCAUUGCCUGGGCCUUUGGUGGUACCAUCUUUGCCCUUGUUUAUUGUACUGCUGGUGUCUCAGGUAUACUUCUCCCUCUCUCUCUCUCUCUCUCCUGUUUUUUCUUUUGUUUCUUUGGCUUGAUCUGUUGCUUGCUAUGCUUCCUUUUAUUUUGGUGUUUUUUUGUAAGUUUUUGGUUAAGUAAGUGCAGAUAUGUACAAGAAUAUUUGGGUUUUGAGUUGUUUCUUAAGUUGAUGUUUGGUUCCCAGGAAAAUGAGGGAAAGAAAAGUAAUAGUGGAGAAAGAAAGUUUCUUUUUCUUUUACUUUAGCAUUCUGAGAGAACCAACUGGAGGAUUGGAGGACUUUACUGUUUUACUUGGGUGUGUGAAAAUUGAUGAAAAAUAAAUAAACCACUUACCAAAAAGAGAAGAAAAAAGUGAGAACUUUAGAUUAUUGGGAUUAACUGUAAGGGUUAUUUUUCUUAAACUCUUGUAUAGUUAGCAAUUUUUACUGCUGAAAAUCAGAGUAGUAGAGUAAAAAAAUUUGGAUUUGUUAAAGAUAUCAACUUUGUUACUGAUCUUCUUGUUGGAUUUACUGGUCUUUAUAACUUUACCUCACAAAUCCAAAUUUCUGGAAAAAUGAAAAUCUGCAUCUUUAUUUUGCAGUAAAAAUUUGAGAGUGUAUAAAUUAAGCCAAAAAUGAAUUCAAAUCAUAUGUUCCUCACCAAUUUUCAUAUUUCGUCGUAACAGUAUAUUAACCUUUGAUAUAUUGAUAAUUUGGACAGGUGGUCACAUAAAUCCAGCUGUGACAUUUGGUCUCUUCCUAGCAAGGAAGCUCUCCCUGACCAGAUCCGUGUUCUACAUCAUCAUGCAAAGCCUUGGGGCAAUGGCUGGUGCCGGGGUGGUGAAGGGGUUCCAACCGAAGCAGUAUGAGUUGCUCGGCGGUGGAGCUAAUGCGGUGAACCAUGGCUAUACCAAGGGUGACGGCCUAGGCGCUGAGAUUGUUGGCACUUUUGUUCUUGUGUACACUGUUUUCUCUGCCACUGAUGCCAAGAGAAAUGCCAGAGACUCUCAUGUCCCUGUAAGUAUAUCUCACCUUUGAUGAUUGAGUACUUGUUUACACACUGCGCUCAUAACUAUUUUCUGUAAAUGUUGUAACUAUGCAUCUGUCUACUUGUAUCAUUGUAAUGCCUUGGUUACUAAGGCAUAGAUUUCAUUGAGUUUUGAGUAUAUUGUGAUUGACUGUUUAGCUAACCGCCGCUCAAUCGUUGUUGCUAUUUGCAAUAUCUUUGGUUAAAAGUUAAUGUUUUAUGGCUCUGGUACAUGAUUACAAACUUUUUCUUUGUGCCAAAAUUACCAUGCCGAUUAGUCAAUCUUCUCUGUGAUUUAGAACACUUUAUCUACAAUAAGCAUCACACGAAACUCUUUCAUGUAGUAGCAACUGGUAUCCCUAUUGCAGCUAUGUCGAUAAACAUGUUCUUAUAUACGAAUGGAAAUGCAGAUCUUGGCUCCACUCCCCAUUGGGUUUGCUGUAUUUUUGGUGCAUUUGGCAACCAUCCCCAUCACCGGAACUGGCAUCAACCCUGCUAGGAGUCUGGGAGCUGCCAUCAUCUACAACAAGGGCCAUGCAUGGGAUGAUCAUGUGAGUAAAACUAAAUUGUUUACAUCAUGAAGUUGCAUCGAUCUAAAUGCACGGGAGAGGAUACAUGUCUUACAUCUUCAAUGAUUUUGUUGUGUUUGCAGUGGAUCUUCUGGGUCGGACCAUUCAUCGGAGCUGCACUUGCUGCACUCUACCAUCAGAUAGUCAUCAGAGCCAUCCCAUUCAAGACCAGGGAUUGACAUGGUAAUCCCCGUCGGGCCUUGUUCUCCCCGUCGGGCCUUGUUCUCCCCGUCGGGCCUUGUUCUGUCUAAAUGCUGCGAUUGUGUUUAUUUCGUUCGUUGUGUUUUAAUGUCGAGAGUGGAGUAUUUGGGGUGCUAAUGUGCAUAUUAGUUAUUUAUCCUGUUACAUUAAUGGAAAACUUUAUUUAAUUUAUUUAUACUUUGUUAUUAUGUUAAUCCUUACUUUUGCAUUGGAAGGCUUUAGGCAUUUGUUACCAAGUAAUUUGGGACUCGAAAGCUUUAUUUAAUUCAUGACUUGCGUAGCCACAUUUAUAACAAGAGACAAUGCGUCUCCUCUGUCUCGUUUGGAAAUGGAUCUUCAUCAAAUCUCUACUUAAUCUUUUUCAUCAAAUAAUCUGGAUUUUUGGUUACAAAUAGGGGUUUAUUUUAAAAGUUAUAAUAACUUUAACCGUUUGAUCAAAUGAAUUAUUUGAUCCAUAAAUAAUUCAUUUCCGUCUCAUUUCUAAUUUGUUGACACAUGGUCCGUAAUUGGUAAUUUUAACACUGUUACUUUACAUAGAAUUUGAUUGGAAAAAAAAACCUGAAAAAUUAAUGGUACGUAGACGGAACGGGAUGAAACGAAACGAAGGUGUAAUUUUUGAAAAAGACAUGGGGUAUAUUUGUCUUAAAA